Molecule: ribosomal RNA, 253 nt
Filed under: uncultured bacterium
Lineage: Bacteria
Description: partial 16S ribosomal RNA
Rfam family: Bacterial small subunit ribosomal RNA
Source: RNAcentral
UACAGAGGGUGCAAACGUUGCUCGGAAUUAUUGGGCGUAAAGCGCGUGUAGGCGGCUUGUUAAGUUGGUUGUGAAAACCCAUGGCUCAACCAUGGAAGUGCGUCCAAAACUGGCAAGCUAGAGUUCUGACGAGGAUGGCGGAAUUCCCAGUGUAGAGGUGAAAUUCGUAGAUAUUGGGAGGAACACCGGUGGCGAAGGCGGCCAUCUGGGAAGAUACUGACGCUGAGACGCGAAAGCGUGGGGAGCAAACGGG